RNAcentral lists this ribosomal RNA (466 nucleotides) under Acinetobacter baumannii. RNAcentral's name for it is "bacterial SSU rRNA". It matches the Rfam family "Bacterial small subunit ribosomal RNA", at positions 67 to 527 of the family's 1533-position model. The record is from RNAcentral. Lineage: Bacteria; Pseudomonadati; Pseudomonadota; Gammaproteobacteria; Moraxellales; Moraxellaceae.
CGGGGGAAGGUAGCUUGCUACCGGACCUAGCGGCGGACGGGUGAGUAAUGCUUAGGAAUCUGCCUAUUAGUGGGGGACAACAUCUCGAAAGGGAUGCUAAUACCGCAUACGUCCUACGGGAGAAAGCAGGGGAUCUUCGGACCUUGCGCUAAUAGAUGAGCCUAAGUCGGAUUAGCUAGUUGGUGGGGUAAAGGCCUACCAAGGCGACGAUCUGUAGCGGGUCUGAGAGGAUGAUCCGCCACACUGGGACUGAGACACGGCCCAGACUCCUACGGGAGGCAGCAGUGGGGAAUAUUGGACAAUGGGGGGAACCCUGAUCCAGCCAUGCCGCGUGUGUGAAGAAGGCCUUAUGGUUGUAAAGCACUUUAAGCGAGGAGGAGGCUACUCUAGUUAAUACCUAGGGAUAGUGGACGUUACUCGCAGAAUAAGCACCGGCUAACUCUGUGCCAGCACCGCGGGUAAUAAA